This 482-nucleotide ribosomal RNA is filed under the name uncultured bacterium. RNAcentral describes it as "partial 16S ribosomal RNA". It matches the Rfam family "Bacterial small subunit ribosomal RNA", at positions 30 to 507 of the family's 1533-position model. The record is from RNAcentral.
AUUGAACGCUGGCCGCAUGCUUUACACCUGCACGUCGACCGGUAACAGCCCGCACGUUGCUGACUACUGGCGAACGUGUGAUUAAUGCCUCCGCACGUGCCCAGUCGUGGGUGAUAACUACUCGACCUAGUAGCUAAUACCCCCUACCAUCUCUGCAUGCCAGCUGGCGACCGUCAGCCCUCGCGCGAUUGGCGCCGGCGAUGUCCGAUUAGGUAGUUGGUGGGGUCAAAGCUCACCAAGCCAACGAUCUGUAGCCGGUCUGAGAGGACGACCAGCCACCCUGGGACUGAGACACGGCGCAGACGCGUACGGGAGGCAGCAGUGGGGAAUUUUGGACAAUGGGCGCAAGCCUGAUCCAGCAAUGCCGCGUGAAGGAAGAAGGCCUUCGGGGUGGAAACUGCUUUUGUACGGAACGAAACGGCUCCGGUUAAUACCCGGGGCUAAUGACGGUACCGUAAGAAUAAGCACCGGCUAACUACGAG